ACGGCCGAAAGGAGUGGCGACUCCCCUGUCUCAGAGAAUUAAGCAUCUACCAUGAUGGCAGUGACGAAGAGAUUGAACAUUGGGAGUUGCCUUCCUCUAUUCAUUCACUUGGUAUAGACAAUCUGAAAACAUUAAGCAGCCAACAUCUCAAAAGCCUCACCUCUCUUCAAUAUCUAUCUAUUCAGGGUAAUUUACCUCAAAUUCAGUCAAUGCUGGAACAAUGCCAGUUUUCCUCCUUUUCGCGCCUCACUUCGCUUCAAACUCUACAAAUCGUGAAUUUCCCUAAUCUCCAAUUAAUUUCCGAAUCAGCACU
Molecule: long non-coding RNA, 313 nt
Filed under: Solanum tuberosum (potato)
Lineage: Eukaryota; Viridiplantae; Streptophyta; Magnoliopsida; Solanales; Solanaceae
Description: long non-coding RNA (STUB_LNC011010)
Source: RNAcentral